RNAcentral lists this ribosomal RNA (270 nucleotides) under uncultured archaeon. RNAcentral describes it as "partial 16S ribosomal RNA". It matches the Rfam family "Archaeal small subunit ribosomal RNA", at positions 477 to 747 of the family's 1478-position model. The record is from RNAcentral.
CAGCACCUCAAGUGGUCAGGAUGAUUAUUGGGCCUAAAGCAUCCGUAGCCGGCGCUGUAAGUUUUCGGUUAAAUCUGUACGCUCAACGUACAGGCUGCCGGGAAUACUGCAGCGCUAGGGAGUGGGAGAGGUAGACGGUACUCGGUAGGAAGGGGUAAAAUCCUUUGAUCUAUUGAUGACCACCUGUGGCGAAGGCGGUCUACCAGAACACGUCCGACGGUGAGGGAUGAAAGCUGGGGGAGCAAACCGGAUUAGAUACCCCAGUAGUCC